This 289-nucleotide ribosomal RNA is filed under the name uncultured Desulfobulbus sp. RNAcentral's name for it is "partial 16S ribosomal RNA". It matches the Rfam family "Bacterial small subunit ribosomal RNA", at positions 1097 to 1382 of the family's 1533-position model. Lineage: Bacteria; Pseudomonadati; Thermodesulfobacteriota; Desulfobulbia; Desulfobulbales; Desulfobulbaceae. The record is from RNAcentral.
CGCAACCCUUGCCUUUAGUUGCCAGCAGUUCGGGCUGGGCACUCUAAAGGGAACUGCCGGUGUUAAACCGGAGGAAGGUGGGGAGUGACGUCAAGUCCUCAUGGCCUUUAUGACCAGGGCUACACACGUACUACAAUGGCCGAUACAAAGGGCAGCGACACGUGCGAGGUGAAGCCAAUCCCGUAAAAUCGGUCUCAGUCCGGAUUGGAGUCUGCAACUCGACUCCAUGAAGUUGGAAUCGCUAGUAAUCGUGGAUCAGCAUGCCACGGUGAAUACGUUCCCGGGCCUU